RNAcentral lists this ribosomal RNA (660 nucleotides) under Cytobacillus firmus. Its description in RNAcentral is "bacterial SSU rRNA". It matches the Rfam family "Bacterial small subunit ribosomal RNA", at positions 34 to 678 of the family's 1533-position model. Lineage: Bacteria; Bacillati; Bacillota; Bacilli; Caryophanales; Bacillaceae. The record is from RNAcentral.
CGCUGGCGGCGUGCUAUACAUGCAAGUCGAGCGGACAGAUGGGAGCUUGCUCCCUGAAGUCAGCGGCGGACGGGUGAGUAACACGUGGGCAACCUGCCUGUAAGACUGGGAUAACUCCGGGAAACCGGGGCUAAUACCGGAUAAUUCUUUCCCUCACAUGAGGGAAAGCUGAAAGAUGGUUUCGGCUAUCACUUACAGAUGGGCCCGCGGCGCAUUAGCUAGUUGGUGAGGUAACGGCUCACCAAGGCAACGAUGCGUAGCCGACCUGAGAGGGUGAUCGGCCACACUGGGACUGAGACACGGCCCAGACUCCUACGGGAGGCAGCAGUAGGGAAUCUUCCGCAAUGGACGAAAGUCUGACGGAGCAACGCCGCGUGAGUGAUGAAGGUUUUCGGAUCGUAAAACUCUGUUGUUAGGGAAGAACAAGUACCGGAGUAACUGCCGGUACCUUGACGGUACCUAACCAGAAAGCCACGGCUAACUACGUGCCAGCAGCCGCGGUAAUACGUAGGUGGCAAGCGUUGUCCGGAAUUAUUGGGCGUAAAGCGCGCGCAGGCGGUUCCUUAAGUCUGAUGUGAAAGCCCCCGGCUCAACCGGGGGAGGGUCAUUGGAAACUGGGGAACUUGAGUGCAGAAGAGAAGAGUGGAAUUCCACGUGUAG